This 729-nucleotide ribosomal RNA is filed under the name uncultured eukaryote. RNAcentral's name for it is "SSU rRNA". It matches the Rfam family "Eukaryotic small subunit ribosomal RNA", at positions 670 to 1426 of the family's 1831-position model. The record is from RNAcentral.
CGGGUGCACUGAUCCGGCCGGGCCUUUCCCUCUGUGGAACCCCAUGGCCUUCACUGGCUGUGCGGGGGAAACAGGACUUUUACUGUGAAAAAAUUAGAGUGCUCCAGGCAGGCCUAUGCUCGAAUACAUUAGCAUGGAAUAAUAGAAUAGGACGCGUGGUUCUAUUUUGUUGGUUUCUAGGACCGCCGUAAUGAUUAAUAGGGACAGUCGGGGGCAUCAGUAUUCAAUUGUCAGAGGUGAAAUUCUUGGAUCUAUUGAAGACUAACUACUGCGAAAGCAUUUGCCAAGGAUGUUUUCAUUGAUAAGGAACGAAAGUUAGGGGAUCGAAGACCAUCAGAUACCGUCGUAGUCUUAACUAUAAACUAUGCCGACUAGGGAUCGGACGAUGUUAUUUCUUGACGCGUUCGGCACCUUUCGAGAAAUCAAAGUGCUUGGGCUCCAGGGGGAGUAUGGUCGCAAGGCUGAAACUUAAAGAAAUUGACGGAAGGGCACCACCAGGGGUGGAACCUGCGGCUUAAUUUGACUCAACACGGGGAAACUCACCAGGUCCAGACACAAUGAGGAUUGACAGAUUGAGAGCUCUUUCUUGAUUUUGUGGGUGGUGGUGCAUGGCCGUUCUUAGUUGGUGGAGUGAUUUGUCUGCUUAAUUGCGAUAACGAACGAGACCUUAACCUGCUAAAUAGCCCGUACUGCUCUGGCAGUUCGCCGGCUUCUUAGAGGGACUAUCGG